Molecule: ribosomal RNA, 1438 nt
Filed under: uncultured organism
Description: SSU rRNA
Rfam family: Bacterial small subunit ribosomal RNA
Source: RNAcentral
UGGAUGAACGCUAGCUACAGGCUUAACACAUGCAAGUCGAGGGGCAGCAUGGUCUUAGCUUGCUAAGGCCGAUGGCGACCGGCGCACGGGUGAGUAACACGUAUCCAACCUGCCGUCUACUCUUGGACAGCCUUCUGAAAGGAAGAUUAAUACAAGAUGGCAUCAUGAGUCCACAUGUUCACAUGAUUAAAGGUAUUCCGGUAGACGAUGGGGAUGCGUUCCAUUAGAUAGUAGGCGGGGUAACGGCCCACCUAGUCUUCGAUGGAUAGGGGUUCUGAGAGGAAGGUCCCCCACAUUGGAACUGAGACACGGUCCAAACUCCUACGGGAGGCAGCAGUGAGGAAUAUUGGUCAAUGGGCGAGAGCCUGAACCAGCCAAGUAGCGUGAAGGAUGACUGCCCUAUGGGUUGUAAACUUCUUUUAUAAAGGAAUAAAGUCGGGUAUGGAUACCCGUUUGCAUGUACUUUAUGAAUAAGGAUCGGCUAACUCCGUGCCAGCAGCCGCGGUAAUACGGAGGAUCCGAGCGUUAUCCGGAUUUAUUGGGUUUAAAGGGAGCGUAGAUGGAUGUUUAAGUCAGUUGUGAAAGUUUGCGGCUCAACCGUAAAAUUGCAGUUGAUACUGGAUAUCUUGAGUGCAGUUGAGGCAGGCGGAAUUCGUGGUGUAGCGGUGAAAUGCUUAGAUAUCACGAAGAACUCCGAUUGCGAAGGCAGCCUGCUAAGCCGCAACUGACAUUGAGGCUCGAAAGUGUGGGUAUCAAACAGGAUUAGAUACCCUGGUAGUCCACACGGUAAACGAUGAAUACUCGCUGUUUGCGAUAUACAGCAAGCGGCCAAGCGAAAGCGUUAAGUAUUCCACCUGGGGAGUACGCCGGCAACGGUGAAACUCAAAGGAAUUGACGGGGGCCCGCACAAGCGGAGGAACAUGUGGUUUAAUUCGAUGAUACGCGAGGAACCUUACCCGGGCUUAAAUUGCAGAUGAAUUACGGUGAAAGCCGUAAGCCGCAAGGCAUCUGUGAAGGUGCUGCAUGGUUGUCGUCAGCUCGUGCCGUGAGGUGUCGGCUUAAGUGCCAUAACGAGCGCAACCCUUGUUGUCAGUUACUAACAGGUUCCGCUGAGGACUCUGACAAGACUGCCAUCGUAAGAUGUGAGGAAGGUGGGGAUGACGUCAAAUCAGCACGGCCCUUACGUCCGGGGCUACACACGUGUUACAAUGGGGGGUACAGAGGGCCGCUACCACGCGAGUGGAUGCCAAUCCCAAAAACCUCUCUCAGUUCGGACUGGAGUCUGCAACCCGACUCCACGAAGCUGGAUUCGCUAGUAAUCGCGCAUCAGCCACGGCGCGGUGAAUACGUUCCCGGGCCUUGUACACACCGCCCGUCAAGCCAUGGGAGCCGGGGGUACCUGAAGUGCGUAACCGCGAGGAGCGCCCUAGGGUAAAAC